GAAAAAUAGAUGGCCUACCCACCUUUUGUAAAAGGAGUACCUAACUGAUAGAAUAGGUACAUUGUUGAAAAAACAAUACAACAUCAAGACCGUGUUUACUCCCCUACAAAAGAUAGCCCACUUGAUGCGAUCUCCGAAGGAUCAUUUGCUAUAGCUCUUACAUUGGUCAAACUAAGAGACCCAUAACGAUUCGGGUGUCGGAACACAUCAAAUCGGUUAAAAACAACGAUCCUCAGAAAUCUGCGAUCGCGGAGCAUAUUCUAAGUACAGGCAGGCACAAAAAAUUGGAUUGAACUCCACAAUCCCCGAGUUCUUUCUCCAGACCGCCACUUUAUAUCAAGACUGGCGCGCGAAGCGAUUGAGAUUCGCAAUCACCAAGAAUUUCAAUCGUGAGCAUGGCUUUAAGCUAGCAAAUAUGUGGAAUCCAGUGGUAGAAUUAUGCAAACCAGGACAACAUUGCACGACAUCUAAAGUUAAUAGUGACGUUGUGAAUGUAUUUUU
This is a long non-coding RNA of Maniola jurtina (meadow brown), 501 nucleotides long. RefSeq lists it as uncharacterized. NCBI's taxonomy places the organism in Eukaryota, Metazoa, Arthropoda, Insecta, Lepidoptera, Nymphalidae. The record is from RefSeq and is a predicted model, not a curated record. The transcript has 4 exons.